UACGGGGGGGGCGAGCGUUGUUCGGAAUUACUGGGCGUAAAGGGUUUGUAGGUGGUCUGCUAAGUCAGACGUGAAAUCCCUCAGCUUAACUGGGGAACUGCGUCUGAUACUGGCGGACUUGAGGACAGGAGAGGAACGCGGAAUUCCAGGUGUAGCGGUGAAAUGCGUAGAUAUCUGGAGGAACACCGGUGGCGAAGGCGGCUUCCUGGACCGACACUGACGCUGAGGCGCGAAAGCCAGGGGAGCAAACGGG
This 253-nucleotide ribosomal RNA is filed under the name uncultured bacterium. RNAcentral's name for it is "partial 16S ribosomal RNA". It matches the Rfam family "Bacterial small subunit ribosomal RNA", at positions 524 to 776 of the family's 1533-position model. The record is from RNAcentral.